Non-coding RNA from Gossypium hirsutum (cotton), 3608 nucleotides. The record is from Rfam. NCBI's taxonomy places the organism in Eukaryota, Viridiplantae, Streptophyta, Magnoliopsida, Malvales, Malvaceae.
GUUCAAACGAGGAAAGGCUUACGGUGGAUACCUAGGCACCCAGAGAUGAGGAAGGGCGUAGUAAGCGACAAAAUGCUUCGGGGAGUUGAAAAUAAGCGUAGAUCCAGAGAUUCCUGAAUAGGUCAACUUUUUGAACUACUGCUAAAUCCAUGGGCAGACAAGAGACGAACUGGCGAACUGAAACAUUUAGUAGCCGGAGGGAUAGAAAGUAAAAGCGAUUCUUGUAGUAGCGGUAAGUGAAAUGGGAGCAACCUAAAUUGCGAAAACAGGGUUGUGGGAGAGCAAUAAAAGCAUCCUGCUACUAGGCGAAGCACUGAAAUGUCAAACGCUAGAUGGCCAUAGUCUAGUAGCCAAAAGCACCGCUAGUUUACGCUCUGACUCUAGUAGCAUGGGGCACGUGAAAUCCCGUGUGAAUCAGCAAGGACCACCUCGCAAGGCUAAAUACUCCUAGGUGACCGAUAGCAAAGUAGUACCGUAAGGGAAGGGUGAAAAGAACCCCCGUCGGGGAGUGAAACAGAACAUGAAAUCGUAAGCUCCCAAGUAGUGGGAGGAGCCCAGGGCUUUGACCGCGUGGCUGUUGAAGAAUGAGUCGGUGAAUCAUAGGCAGUGGCUUGGUUAAGGGAACCCACUAAAGCCUUAGCGAAAGCGAGUCUUCAUAGGGAAAUUGUCACUACUUACAGACCCGAACCUGGGUGGUCUAUCCAUGACCAGGUUGAAGUUUGGGUGAAACUAACUGAACGUCUGAACCGACUAAUGUUGAAGAAUCAGCAGAUGAGUUGUCAUUAAGGCUAAAAUGCCACUCGAACUCAAAGCUAGCUAGUUCUCCCCGAAAUGCGUGAGGCGUAGCAGUUGACUGGACAUCUAAGGGUAAAGCAUUGUUUUGGUGCGUGCCGCGAGAGUGGUACCAAAUUGAGGCAAACUCUAACUACUAGAUAUGACCUCAAAAUAACAGGGGUCGAGGUAAACCAGUGAGACAAUAGGUUAUAAGCUUCAUCAUCGAGAGGGAAACAACCUGGAUCACCAGCUAAGGCCCCUAAAUGAUCGCUUAGUGAUAAAGGAGGUAGGGUGUAGAGACAUCUAGGAGGUUUGCCUAGAAGCAGCCACCCUUGACAGAGUGCGUAAUAGCUCACUGAUCGAGCGCUCUUGCGCCGAAGAUGAACGGGGCUAAGCGAUCUGCCGAAGCUGUGGGAUGUAAAAAUACAUUGGUAGGGGAGCUUUCAGCCUUAGGGGGAAGCACCCGCGUGAGUGGGAGUAGAUGAAGCAAAAGCGAGAAUGUCGGCUUGUGUAACACAAACAUUGGUGGGAAUCGAAUGCCUUGAAAACCCAAGGGUUCCUCCGCAAGGUUCGUCCACAGAGGGUGAAUCAGGGCCUAAGAUCAGGCUGAAUGGCAUAGUCAAUGGAGAACAGGUGAAUAUUCCUAUACUACCCCUUGUUGGUCUUGAGAGACGGAGGAGGCUAAAUUAGCCAAAAGAUGGUUAUCGGUUCAAGGACGCAAGGUGCCCCUAUUUUUUCAGGCUAAGAAGGGGUUGAGAAAAUGCCCCGAGCCAAUGUUUGAGUACCAGGCACUAUGACGUUGAAGUAACCCAUGCUAUACUCCCAAGAAAAGCUUGAAAGACCUUUAACAAAAGGAUACCUAAGGGCGCGAGACAACUCUCUCUAAGGAACUCGGGAAAAUAGCCCCAUAACUUUGGGAGAACGGGUGCCUCCUCAAAAAGGGGGUCGUAGUGACCAGGCCUGGGUGGCUAUUUACCAAAAACAUAGGUCUCAGCAAAGUCGUAAGACCAUGUAUGGGGGAGCCAGCGAACGAAGGAGUGUGUAAUAGCUUAGUGAUCAAGCGCUCUUGCGCUGAAGAUGAACGGGGCUAAGCGAUCUGCCGAAGCUGUGGGAUGUAAAAAUACAUUGGUAGGGGAGCUUUCAGCCUUAGGGGGAAGCACCCGCGUGAGUGGGAGUAGAUGAAGCAAAAGCGAGAAUGUCGGCUUGUGUAACACAAACAUUGGUGGGAAUCGAAUGCCUUGAAAACCCAAGGGUUCCUCCGCAAGGUUCGUCCACAGAGGGUGAAUCAGGGCCUAAGAUCAGGCUGAAUGGCAUAGUCAAUGGAGAACAGGUGAAUAUUCCUAUACUACCCCUUGUUGGUCUUGAGAGACGGAGGAGGCUAAAUUAGCCAAAAGAUGGUUAUCGGUUCAAGGACGCAAGGUGCCCCUAUUUUUUCAGGCUAAGAAGGGGUUGAGAAAAUGCCCCGAGCCAAUGUUUGAGUACCAGGCACUAUGACGUUGAAGUAACCCAUGCUAUACUCCCAAGAAAAGCUUGAAAGACCUUUAACAAAAGGAUACCUAAGGGCGCGAGACAACUCUCUCUAAGGAACUCGGGAAAAUAGCCCCAUAACUUUGGGAGAACGGGUGCCUCCUCAAAAAGGGGGUCGUAGUGACCAGGCCUGGGUGGCUAUUUACCAAAAACAUAGGUCUCAGCAAAGUCGUAAGACCAUGUAUGGGGGAGCCAGCGAACGAAGCUCCAGUGAGCGGCAGUCGUAACUAGAACAUUCUUAAGGUAGCGAAAUUCCUUGUCGGGUCAGUUUCGACCCGUAUGAAAGGCGUAAUGAUCUGGGCACUGUCUCAGAGAGAGGCUCAGUGAAAUAGACAUGUCUGUGAAGAUGCAGACUACCCGCACCUGGAUAGAAAGACCCUAUGAAGCUUCACUCUUCCCUGGGAUUGGCUUUGGGCCUUUCUUGAGCAGCUUAGGUGGAAGGCAAAGAAGGCCUCCUUCCGUGGAGCCCGAGCCAUCAGUGAGAUACCACUUUGGAAGAGCUAGAAUUAUAACCUUGUGUCAGGACCUAUGGGCCAAGGGACAGUCUCAGGUAGACAGUUUCUAUGGGGCAUAGGCAUGUCAAAAGGUAACAGAGGCGUGCAAAGGUUUCCUCGGGCGGAUGGAGAUUGGCCCUCGAGUGCAAAAGAAGGGAGCUUGACUGCAAGACCCACCCGUCGAACAGGGACGAAAGUUAACCUUAGUGAUCCGAUAGUGCCAAGUGGAAGGGCCGUCGCUCAACGAAUAAAAGUUACUCUAGGUAUAACAGGCUAAUCUUCCCUAAGAGCUCACAUCGACAAGAAGGUUUGGCACCUCGAUGUCGACUCUUCACUACUUGGGGCUGUAGUAUGUUCCAAGGGUUGGGCUGUUUACCCAUUAAAGCCAUACGUGAGCUGGGUUCAGAACGUGGUGAGACAGUUCAGUCCAUAUCUAGUGUGGGUGUUAGAGCAUUGAGAGGACCUUUCCCUAGUAAGAGAGGACCGGGAAGGACGCAUCUCUGGUGUACCAAUUAUCGUGCCCAUGAUAAAUGUUGGGCAGCAAAGUGCGGAGCGAGUAACUGCUGAAAGCAUCUAAGUAGUAAGUCCACCCCAAGUUGUGUGCUCUCCUAUUCCGAAUUCCCCAGAGCCUCUGGUAGCAUAGCCGAGAUGGCAAGGGGUUCUCUGUCCCUAUGAGGAUCGAAUGACAAAAAUUUUGAGAAUUCAAAAGAAGGUCACAGCGAGACAAGUCGCUUAUCAUUACGAUAGGUGUCAAGUGGAACUGCAGUGAUGUAUUCAGCUGAGGCAUCCUAACAGACGGGGAGACUUGAAACU